This 497-nucleotide ribosomal RNA is filed under the name uncultured bacterium. RNAcentral's name for it is "partial 16S ribosomal RNA". It matches the Rfam family "Bacterial small subunit ribosomal RNA", at positions 28 to 507 of the family's 1533-position model. The record is from RNAcentral.
GACGAACGCUGGCGGCGUGCCUAAUACAUGCAAGUAGAACGCUGAAAAGAGGAGCUUGCUCUUCUUGGAUGAGUUGCGAACGGGUGAGUAACGCGUAGGUAACCUGCCUGGUAGCGGGGGAUAACUAUUGGAAACGAUAGCUAAUACCGCAUGAAAUUGCUUAUCGCAUGAUAAUUGAUUGAAAGAUGCAAUUGCAUCACUACCAGAUGGACCUGCGUUGUAUUAGCUAGUUGGUGAGGUAACGGCUCACCAAGGCGACGAUACAUAGCCGACCUGAGAGGGAGAUCGGCCACACUGGGAAUGAGACACGGCCCAGAAUCCUACGGGAGGCAGCAGGAGGGAAUCAUCGGCAAUGGGGGGAACGCUGACCGAGCAACGACGCGGGAGUGAAGGAGGGUUUCGGAUCGUAAAGGUCUGUUGGAAGAGAAGAAAGGGUGUGAGAGUGAAAAGUUCACACUGUGACGGUAUCUAACCAGAAAGGGACGGCUAACUACGUG